UCUCUUCGCCAACAGGAGGUUCGCUAACCGACCGCUUAGGAAUCUCUCUGUAUCUCGUGUUGCACUCCUUCUCAUUCCGCCGUGACGUUUUCUUCGGUCUUCUCGGCAGUGAUUUGCCUCGACCUUUUCUCUGCGGUCUCUCUCUCUCCCUCAGCGCUGUUUCUUUGCUUCCGUUCUUUUUGUUGGAUGGCACCUUGAGGUGCCCACCAGCGACGGCUCUGUGCUCUCCGUGUCUGCUCCCAGUCGCAUCUAUUCUAUUCCUUGUUUCCUUCCUUUUUUGUUUUUCUUGGAGGCGUGCGCCCUUUGCACUGUCGAAGCCUGCAUGUGCGUGGUUCAUGCACUGACUUUCACCCAAACCGUGUGCGUGAUGUCCACCGACCCCAACUCGUUCGAGGCGAUCAGGCCGAAACUGACGGCACAGACGCUGCAGGAUAUCGAGGGACUCGACCCUCAAAAGUACGGCUUCGGUCGCGAGGAGUGCUGUGGCCCGAUCCCGGCCAAGAUUAUCGGCAGCAUGAGUCUGCGGGAGCACAUCUUUCUGAACACCCGUAUGCCUGCAAGGGAGUGGGACAAACGCACCGAGAAUGUACCGGGCUUUAAGGAGCUGAGCCAUCACAUCAAGCAUAAGUUACCGGAUGCGAGCUUUACCGUGUCGCACCGUGAUCAGGACACGGAAGACUCGAUUUUACACUGUAAAGUGGACGACAAAAAGGCGGUCAUCAUCACACAAUACAGCGGCGUCUCGGUGCCGUAUGAGCUGCCGUGGGAGGUAAAGGGCACACUGGCCGUCGACCGCUCGGGCGAGUACUUCAUUUUCGUCUGCUCUCACUUCACACGCGAUGCGCGCUGCGGCUACUGCGGCUCCGUCUUAAUCGACCUCUUCCGUCAUGCUCUCCUCGAGAAAAUGGGCGCCGGUGGCGCAGAGCGGGUGACGGUGUACUCGUGCUCGCACAUCGGUGGCCAUAUCUACGCGGGCAAUGUGAUCAUUUACAGCCGCCACGGUGGCAUUUGCUACGGUCUCUUCAAGCCGGAGGAUGUGCUGCCCGUAGUGGACGCCAUAGCGGAGGAUAAGGGCGCCAUACCCGAGUCACUCAAGAACCGCAUUCGUGGGCAAAUGGGGUCUGACGCAUCGUAAGCAACGAUCGGCGUGGGGAGGCAAAGGGGGACAAAGAGGGAUAGGACAGGGUGGAAGGCAUGCAUACCCGUGUGAAAGGGACGCAACACUGGUGAAACGGCCGGUGCGACACCGUGCUUUUCGUGUUGGUUUCCCUCAGUGCCGAACGCACCUCUACAAGAUAUGCCCCUGCGUGUGCGUUGUGUGCGUGUAGCAAGAUGGUGAGACUUGCUGUGCGCAUGGGGCACGGCCCCUUAAACCUCGGCAGCUCGUUGGAUCCUGUAUUCCACCAUCACAGCUGAGGCAGUUUCCACUGCCCCGAUUCCUCCUCGUCCUAUUUCUCAGCCGUGCUCCUCUUGCAUGCCCACCUGCCAUGCUUCCAUGCUAGCGUUACCCCUCGCGGUCGUCCUUGCAGGUGGCAUUGGACGUUAUGCGCCACCAUCUGCUCUGGCACUGUGUGUGUGUGCGUGGGUGGUGGUGGUGGGUGUCGGUGGGCCCUGUCUCUUCUCCGUUCUCCUGUUCGCCCGUUCUCUGCUUUCCACCCCGUGUCGCUCUGUCUUACAUUUUUCAUCGGUACAUGUGUUCGUGCGUGCGCGCGCGUGCUUGUGCGUCUGUGCGUCAGAGGUGUUCGGUGUAUACCUCACUCAUUUUCAUUCCCUGCACAUGACGCCAUCCGAAACGCUUAUCGUCUCAGACCCUCAUGUUCAUUUCUGUCUCCGUAGUCCCCUUCUCUCACUCCGUCUACACUCUUACAAAGGAACGCUGCUCCGGUGUGGCCGUUUAUCCCUCUGUGCGUGUGUGUGUUUGCCGUCUGCGCCCUCCCUCCAUCCGCCUGUGAAGUAUCUCUCUCCAUGCGUGCGUGUUUUCUCUCCCUUUCUCCUGACCAGUGCCACCCCCUCCCCUCCCCAGCUACCCCACCCCACCCGCCACGGCCAGCAGCACCACUGAUCCCUGAUCCUCCUCCACAGUCGCUGCACACCCUCCCUCACCUCUGACGUCGGCGCCACCGGAGAGGAUGCGGCCCAUCAAAAGAGCGGCACGCAUUUUUUGCUUUAUGUUUUUGCGAGCGCAUCUGCUGCACCGUAGAAGUAGUCGGUGUGCCUGAUCCGUGGACGGGGUAAGGAGAAGAGUGUCUAUAUUCGGCACACGCCCGAAUCCAAGCCCGCACAGGCGAGUGGAAAGGUGCGCGCGAGAGAGGCCGCCGUUGCGGCUGCUUGCGACUCGCUGGGCUUCUGCUUAUUUGUGCGUGUGUAUGUCUGUGAGCGAUGGUGAUGGAGCCCGAUGUCGCCUUUUCAUGCCCCCCUCCUCUUGUCUCCAACGAGCACACGGUCCAACGUGAAGAAAGAAACAAGUGGUAACGGCCGCCGUACUUUAAAGAGGCAGUUGGAGGGGCUGAUGUGCCUUAGUGUCUAAAGCGGUCUGCACAGCUGAUUCUCUCUCGGUGUUGUGGUUCACAGCUCGGCUGUGGUGCACUGCUCAAUACACUGGAUAUAACGCUGAGGUGCAAGCACAUCCUCGUCGUGCAUGAGAGGCGUGUCCGCACAAAAUACCACCACGUGU
Molecule: unclassified non-coding RNA, 2674 nt
Filed under: Leishmania donovani
Lineage: Eukaryota; Euglenozoa; Kinetoplastea; Trypanosomatida; Trypanosomatidae
Description: gene:LdHU3.36.8540(CDS-product:Sucrase/ferredoxin -like_putative)
Source: RNAcentral